UGGGGAAUAUUGCACAAUGGGCGCAAGCCUGAUGCAGCCAUGCCGCGUGUAUGAAGAAGGCCUUCGGGUUGUAAAGUACUUUCAGAGGGGAGGAAGGCGAUGUGGUUAAUAACCGCGUCGAUUGACGUUACCCGCAGAAGAAGCACCGGCUAACUCCGUGCCAGCAGCCGCGGUAAUACGGAGGGUGCAAGCGUUAAUCGGAAUUACUGGGCGGAAAGCGCACGCAGGCGGUCUGUCAAGUCGGAUGUGAAAUCCCCGGGCUCAACCUGGGAACUGCAUCCGAAACUGGCAGGCUUGAGUCUCGUAGAGGGGGGUAGAAUUCCAGGUGUAGCGGUGAAAUGCGUAGUGAUCUGGAGGAAUACCGGUGGCGAAGGCGGCCCCCUGGACGAAGACUGACGCUCAGGUGCGAAAGCGUGGGGAGCAAACA
This 427-nucleotide ribosomal RNA is filed under the name uncultured bacterium. Its description in RNAcentral is "partial 16S ribosomal RNA". It matches the Rfam family "Bacterial small subunit ribosomal RNA", at positions 355 to 774 of the family's 1533-position model. The record is from RNAcentral.